Molecule: RNA transcript, 2912 nt
Organism: Peromyscus californicus insignis
Lineage: Eukaryota; Metazoa; Chordata; Mammalia; Rodentia; Cricetidae
Gene name: uricase
Exons: 9
Source: RefSeq, a predicted model, not a curated record
CUCAAGGCACGAUGCUCACAGACCUACAUUGCCUGGCAACAGGAGAGAGCUCUCACCCCAUUUCUAUUAGGUGCAUAAAAGAGUAAGUGCUGAGUGAGUUGGCAGAGAUCUGGCAGCCUGAAGACUUCGAACGAUGAAGUGGAAUUUGUCCGAACUGGCUAUGGGAAGGAUAUGGUCAAAGUACUCCAUAUUCAGAGGAAUGGAAAAUACCACAGCAUCAAAGAGGUGGUAACUUCGGUGCAGCUGACUCUGAGAUCCAAAAAGGAUUACCUCCAUGGUGAUAACUCUGACAUCAUCCCUACAGACACCAUCAAGAACACAGUGCAUGUCCUGGCAAAGCUCAAAGGGAUAAAAAGCAUAGAGACGUUUGCUAUGAACAUCUGUGAGCACUUCCUUUCUUCUUUUAACCACGUCACCCGAGCCCACGUCUACGUGGAAGAGGUCCCCUGGAAGCGUUUUGAAAAGAAUGGACUCAAGCAUGUCCAUGCUUUCAUUCACGCCCCCACCGGGACACACUUCUGUGAGGUGGAGCAGAUGAGGAGUGGACCUCCAGUCAUUCACUCUGGAAUCAAAGACCUCAAGGUCUUGAAAACAACCCAGUCUGGAUUUGAAGGAUUCAUCAAGGACCAGUUUACCACGCUCCCCGAAGUGAAGGACCGAUGCUUUGCGACUCAAGUGUACUGCAAGUGGCGUUACCACAGAAGGGACGUGGACUUUGAGGCUACAUGGGGCACCGUCCGGGACAUUGUCCUGAAGAAAUUUGCUGGGCCCUAUGACAAAGGCGAAUACUCCCCUUCAGUGCAGAAGACACUCUACGAUAUACAAGUGAUGUCCCUGAACCAGGUUCCUGAGAUAGAAGACAUGGAAAUCAGCCUGCCAAACAUUCACUACUUUAACAUCGACAUGUCCAAAAUGGGGCUGAUCAACAAGGAAGAGCCACGACAAAGAACCCAGUUGAACUUUGAAACAAGUAUGCUCCAACAUGUCUGCAACCAGACUCACGCCAGCAUAUGGGAUUGAGUAAAGGGCUGUUGCAGCUCAGAACCUGCUGGAAGGAAAAUGAGAAUCUUGGAUUUCAAAUAGCUGAGUUCAGAUCUCAGACAGCCAUUUGUGGCCAUGUGGCUUGAGACUGAAUGGAAUGCCUACUUCCAGUCAAGUGGAAUAAUGGAGGCCAAGCUCACUCUUCUACUCUCAUAAGACAACUGAACAAGCAGACAAAAAUAUAUAAAAUAAUAUGGCACUCAAAACAUUGGUCAUAGUCACUAAAGGAUCAGGACCCUGAAAGAAGGAAAAAAAAAAGGUAGGUCCUGGAGAAGGUCUUCAGCAUGCACUCGGGACAGUUAGGAGGAGACAUGUAGAGACCAACUCAAAAGGGUGUCCCUGGAGUGUUCAGCAGAAUUCUCAUCAGCAUCUUCGUAGAACUUUCUGAGGCUGGGGCAAAAAAAUUACCCAGAAGUACUAGAGGGGAAAAAAAUCAUCAGACAUCAUGCAUGGGCAAGAAUAGUGCCUUUUUCACCUGUCAGAAAGGAAAAUCUCAUAAUGCAGGAGCACUGGAAUAGUAAAAAGGAGAGUCUUGCUUCAGUAAAAGGCCAGGAAACAGCCCUAGAUCAGUGCAGCUUUGGUUUUAUGAGCCUGGCUCAUAAAACUUAAAAGAGAGACUUGAAAGGAUAGACAGUUUCUAAGAAAAUAGCACCCAGGAACCUACAUCAAGCAAUUAUAGAAAUAUAAGAAAAAUCCAGCACUGAAAAGAGUAAAAUUCACACUGCCUACCAUCCAAUCAAAAAUUAUCAAACAUCAGCCACUUAAAAUUGAGAAAUUAAUUCAAAUGAUUAAAGUUUUAUGUCUAUAAUCUGCAUAUCAGAAAGCUAGAGAAAAGAUUAAAUAUGUUAAGACAUGGAACACGAACACACACACACACACACACACACACCUACCUCCAAGGUUAACUUUUAGAGAUGAUGAGUAUUUUUUUCUGAAAUAAAAAUAUACAUGGAUAUUUUAAACAAGAGAUUAGAAUUUUAAGAGACAAGAUUAAGUAAAAUUAAAUAUGCAGCAACAGGAGCUAUUCAGAAUGAAACAGAGAAAAACACUUAAAAAUGAACAGAGCAUCAGGGAAUUUUGGGAAAAUAUCAAGUAGUCAAACACAUACACAAACGGAAAAGGGUCAUGUUUUGGAAUAAUAAUGGCUAAAUAUCUUUUCAAAUGUGAUGAAAACUAGACUCACAGAUCUAAAAAACAAAACAUAGCCCAAGUACAAGAAGCAUAAUGUCACAUCAAGCCUCAUAAUCAAAGCAGAACACAAAUUAAAAAAAUCUUAAGAGCAGGUGAAAGGAUAAAAGGACACCUGCACAUGGGAUAAAAAGGGUGAGAGACAAAGGAAAGAAUAAAACAAGGAUGUCUGCUUGUAUCACAGUUUUCAGUGUUCUGCCAGAGAAUGUACUUAACAAAAUGGAAGGAAAUACAAACAAACAACAUCAAAAUCGAAGAAAAUAAGUAAAACCAUAUUUAAGGACAAAGAAUGAUAGUCCAGAUUUUAAAAUAUUGUGGACUCUCCUAAAGAAGUGAUUAGAAGUAAGUCUAAUGAAGUUGUAGAAAAUAAGACCAUGUACAGAAUCAACUCUAGCUCUAUACAGUAAUAACAAAUCACUGGAAAUUCAAACCAUCAUAGCAUAAAAAACAAGAAAUAUCAACAGACACACCAAGUGAAAGUGUUUAAGAGCAACAUUCAGAAAUCCAGACACACUGUGAAGAGACAUUAAGGACCAGGUAAACGAGGAGACACACUGUCCUCACUGUGUCCCUUCUUCCCAACCAACUCAUACAAAUGCUAAUUCAAAUGUCAUUAGGUUUGCCAAUGGAAAUAUCACCAGGUCCGUCCGUCCUUCCUUCCUUCCUUCCUUCCUUCCUUCCUU